AUCUACAAUCAUACCACCCUGAACGUGCCAGAUCACGUCUGAUCUCGGAAGCUAAGUAGGGUAGGACCUGGUUAGUCCUUGGAUGGGAGACCACCUGGGUAUACCACAUGCUGUAGGCU
This is a ribosomal RNA of Macaca nemestrina (pig-tailed macaque), 119 nucleotides long. NCBI's taxonomy places the organism in Eukaryota, Metazoa, Chordata, Mammalia, Primates, Cercopithecidae. The record is from Ensembl.